RNAcentral lists this ribosomal RNA (278 nucleotides) under uncultured bacterium. RNAcentral describes it as "partial 16S ribosomal RNA". It matches the Rfam family "Bacterial small subunit ribosomal RNA", at positions 524 to 803 of the family's 1533-position model. The record is from RNAcentral.
UACGGAGGGUGCAAACGUUGCUCGGAAUCAUUGGGCGUAAAGCGCACGUAGGCGGCUUGUUAAGUCGGAUGUGAAAGCCCCAGGCUCAACCUGGGAAGUGCAUUCGAAACUGGCGAGCUUGAAUAUGGAAGAGGGUCGCGGAAUUCCCGGUGUAGAGGUGAAAUUCGUAGAUAUCGGGAGGAACACCAGUGGCGAAGGCGGCGACCUGGGCCAAUAGUUGACGCUGAGGUGCGAAAGCGUGGGGAGCAAAGCAGGGAGUUAAGCAAACCCCAUGAUGA